This 62-nucleotide transfer RNA is filed under the name Capitulum mitella. Its description in RNAcentral is "tRNA-Phe". The record is from RNAcentral. Lineage: Eukaryota; Metazoa; Arthropoda; Thecostraca; Pollicipedomorpha; Pollicipedidae.
AUUAAAAUAGUUCAAAAAGAGCGUUGCAUUGAAGCUGCAAAGGUGACUUUGGUCUUUUAAUG